CGUGUAGGCGGUCAGGUAAGUGGAAUGUGAAAUGCCCCGGCUCACCCGGGGACCGGCAUCCCAAACUGCCUGGCUUGAGUAUGGGAGAGGACGGAGGAAUUCCUGGUGUAGCGGUGAAAUGCGUAGAUAUCAGGAGGAACACCGGUGGCGAAGGCGUCCAUCUGGCCCAAUACUGACGCUGAGGCGCGAAAGCUAGGGGAGCAAACGG
Molecule: ribosomal RNA, 208 nt
Filed under: uncultured Latescibacterota bacterium
Lineage: Bacteria; Pseudomonadati; Candidatus Latescibacterota
Description: uncultured Latescibacteria bacterium partial 16S ribosomal RNA
Rfam family: Bacterial small subunit ribosomal RNA
Source: RNAcentral